CAGCAGCCACGGUAAUACAGAGGAUGCAAGCGUUAUCCGGAAUGAUUGGGCGUAAAGGGCUCGCAGGCGGUUUCUUAAGUCUGAUGUGAAAGCCCCCGGCUCAACCGGGGAGGGUCAUUGGAAACUGGGAAACUUGAGUGCAGAAGAGGAGAGUGGAAUUCCACGUGUAGCGGUGAAAUGCGUAGAGAUGUGGAGGAACACCAGUGGCGAAGGCGACUCUCUGGUCUGUAACUGACGCUGAGGAGCGAAAGCGUGGGGAGCGAACAGGAUUAGAUACCCCUGUAGUCCCUGUCUCUUAUAC
Molecule: ribosomal RNA, 301 nt
Filed under: uncultured bacterium
Lineage: Bacteria
Description: partial 16S ribosomal RNA
Rfam family: Bacterial small subunit ribosomal RNA
Source: RNAcentral